AGUUAGAGAGUACUGCCAAUCUGGUUCUGACUGCAGAUACCUCAUGAAUGGAAUGGAAAUGAAUGGGGAGGGGAGUUUCGCUAUCCGCUUUUCAACAACUUCAGCUUUCCGUUUGCACUUGGUUCCAGACAGUCAAAAUUUUUGGUGGUUGUGAAAUGGCUGAAUGUGACUGAGCAUCCAUAGCCAUCAACAGAAGAAAACCUCCCGGGUUCCUAUCCGAGACAUUGGGUCGUCAAAGCCUGAAAGCACCGGAACACCCAAACAAGUCAAAUGGAUCCGUGGGGACGACUACAACCGUCACUACCUACAAG
This 311-nucleotide small RNA is filed under the name Histoplasma capsulatum var. duboisii H88. Its description in RNAcentral is "Histoplasma capsulatum H88 hypothetical RNA". Lineage: Eukaryota; Fungi; Ascomycota; Eurotiomycetes; Onygenales; Ajellomycetaceae. The record is from RNAcentral.